UACGUAGGGGGCAAGCGUUGUCCGGAAUCAUUGGGCGUAAAGAGCGUGUAGGCGGCUCGAUAAGUCUGCUGUGAAAGUCCAGGGCUCAACCCUGGAAGGCCGGUGGAAACUGUCGGGCUAGAGUCCGGACGAGGCGAGUGGAAUUCCCGGUGUAGCGGUGAAAUGCGCAGAUAUCGGGAGGAACACCAAUGGCGAAGGCAGCUCGCUGGGACGGUACUGACGCUGAGACGCGAAAGCGUGGGGAGCAAACAGG
Molecule: ribosomal RNA, 253 nt
Filed under: uncultured bacterium
Lineage: Bacteria
Description: partial 16S ribosomal RNA
Rfam family: Bacterial small subunit ribosomal RNA
Source: RNAcentral